Long non-coding RNA from Polypterus senegalus (gray bichir), 262 nucleotides. RefSeq lists it as uncharacterized. Lineage: Eukaryota; Metazoa; Chordata; Cladistia; Polypteriformes; Polypteridae. The transcript has 3 exons. The record is from RefSeq and is a predicted model, not a curated record.
UCUUACAUUUCUCCAUGCUGUGUGGACAGGCAGAAGUUGAACAUUGCUUCCUUUAUGGGCUAAAAUAUUCUGCAAUAGUGACAGAGCGAAGAUCGGCUUUACGGUAUAGAAUGUGGAAUCGCUGCCAGACUGUGGUGCUGAAGCUGUAUGGAUUGUGAGCAUCUUUUGCUUAAAGAAAGUCUUUGUUAAUUGCUUAAUCACUUCAAAGAACAGAAAUAGACACAAACAAGUAAAGGGAAAAAAAGGUGACAGAAAAAAAAAC